GGGUUGUGAGGUUAAGCGACUAAGCGUACACGGUGGAUGCCCUGGCAGUCAGAGGCGAUGAAGGACGUGCUAAUCUGCGAAAAGCGUCGGUAAGGUGAUAUGAACCGUUAUAACCGGCGAUGUCCGAAUGGGGAAACCCAGUGUGAUUCGUCACACUAUCGUUAACUGAAUACAUAGGUUAACGAGGCGAACCGGGGGAACUGAAACAUCUAAGUACCCCGAGGAAAAGAAAUCUACCGAGAUUCCCC
Molecule: ribosomal RNA, 248 nt
Filed under: Klebsiella pneumoniae
Lineage: Bacteria; Pseudomonadati; Pseudomonadota; Gammaproteobacteria; Enterobacterales; Enterobacteriaceae
Description: partial 23S ribosomal RNA
Rfam family: Bacterial large subunit ribosomal RNA
Source: RNAcentral